UACAGAGGGGGCAAGCGUUAUUCGGAAUUAUUGGGCGUAAAGGGCGCGUAGGCGGCGAUUCAAGUGACGUGUGAAAUCCCUCGGCUUAACCGAGGAACUGCCUGUCAGACUGGAUUGCUUGAGGCCGGGAGAGGUGAGUGGAAUUCCCGGUGUAGCGGUGAAAUGCGUAGAUAUUGGGAGGAACACCAGUGGCGAAGGCAGAUCACUGGGCCGGUACUGACGCUGAUGAGCGAAAGCGUGGGGAGCAAACAGG
RNAcentral lists this ribosomal RNA (253 nucleotides) under uncultured bacterium. RNAcentral's name for it is "partial 16S ribosomal RNA". It matches the Rfam family "Bacterial small subunit ribosomal RNA", at positions 524 to 776 of the family's 1533-position model. The record is from RNAcentral.